This 510-nucleotide ribosomal RNA is filed under the name uncultured bacterium. Its description in RNAcentral is "bacterial SSU rRNA". It matches the Rfam family "Bacterial small subunit ribosomal RNA", at positions 35 to 518 of the family's 1533-position model. The record is from RNAcentral.
GCUGGCGGCGUGCCUAAUACAUGCAAGUCGAACGGCUUUUCUAUGGAAGCUUGCUUCCACUGAGAAGAUAGUGGCGAACGGGUGAGUAACACGUGGGUAACCUGCCCAUAAGAGGGGGAUAACAUCCGGAAACGGGUGCUAAUACCGCAUAGUUUUCUUGAUCGCAUGAUCGGGAAAGGAAAGACGGCCUUUGUGCUGUCGCUUAUGGAUGGACCCGCGGCGUAUUAGUUAGUUGGUGAGGUAACGGCUCACCAAGACGAUGAUACGUAGCCGACCUGAGAGGGUGAUCGGCCACAUUGGGACUGAGACACGGCCCAAACUCCUACGGGAGGCAGCAGUAGGGAAUCUUCCGCAAUGGACGAAAGUCUGACGGAGCAACGCCGCGUGAGUGAAAGAAGGUUUUCGGAUCGUAAAACUCUGUUGUCAGAGAAGAACAAGUUGGAGAGUAACUGCUCCAGCCUUGACGGUAUCUGACCAGAAAGCCACGGCUAACUACGUGCCAGCCGCCGC